GUAAGGAAUAUUGGUCAAUGGGGGCAACCCUGAACCAGCCAUGCCGCGUGAAGGAUGAAGGCGUUAUGCGUUGUAAACUUCUUUUGUAUGGGAAGAAUGACAGGGAUUUAUCCUUGGAGAGACGGUACCAUACGAAUAAGCACCGGCUAACUCCGUGCCAGCAGCCGCGGUAAUACGGAGGGUGCAAGCGUUAUCCGGAAUCACUGGGUUUAAAGGGUACGUAGGCGGUUAAUUAAGUCAGUAGUGAAAGACUGUCGCUCAACGAAGGAUGAGAUAGUGAUACUGGUUAACUUUAAUCAGGUUAGAGUUGGCGGAAUGGGUCAUGUAGCGGUGAAAUGCUUAGAUAUGACUUGGAACACCGAUAGCGAAGGCAGCUGACUGAGCCUUGAUUGACGCUGAGGUACGAAAGUGUGGGUAGCGAACAGGAUUAGAUACCCUGGUAGUCC
RNAcentral lists this ribosomal RNA (446 nucleotides) under uncultured bacterium. RNAcentral's name for it is "partial 16S ribosomal RNA". It matches the Rfam family "Bacterial small subunit ribosomal RNA", at positions 354 to 796 of the family's 1533-position model. The record is from RNAcentral.